AAACGUUAGCUUUGCUGAACCGUGGACUGAACGAGAAAACAAGCCGUACCACCAAGCACCACGGUCCACGACGCCGGCGGCACACCGCCACCGCUCGAAAUCCCAGCAAGGUAGCGAGUGCCGCAAAUAAAUCGUCUCAACUAAAUCAGCGGCUUGGGUGCGAUGCUUGCGCUCAGAUUGGGUAUACUCUCGUCAGACCAUGCGUCCAUGCCCAACUCCUUGUGCAGGACUCGGCUCACCACCUGCUCGACGGAAUGCCUGGCUGGGCACGCCGCAUAAUAUUCAUUUAGUGGAUCAAGAUUUCCUCUCACUGUGCCCUCAAACAUGGUUGGAUCCUGUGGGAUGAUGCUAAGUCUGCCUCGUAAAUCAUGCAACCCGAUUUUGCUGAGAUCAACGUUAUCAAUUUCAAUUGUCCCUUGUCUCGGUUCAACAAUCCGGAAAAGCGCUUGAAUCAAGGUUGACUUUCCACUGCCAGUUACAGAUGACAACUGCCCGUUGAGGUUCAGUGCAUAAGUCACUGCAAGUCCCGCAAUGCCUGUGCAUACAAUUAUGUCAGUUUCACAGCCACCAAAAAUUAGUGAUCAGAGUAUAGACUGCAAAAAUGAAGCAACUAUAACUUGUCUGCAUGAAAAACUUACUUGGAUUUAUAAAACCUUCGGGAAGACUCACCAACAGAGUCAAAGAAAA
Long non-coding RNA from Aegilops tauschii subsp. strangulata, 687 nucleotides. RefSeq lists it as uncharacterized. The record is from RefSeq and is a predicted model, not a curated record. NCBI's taxonomy places the organism in Eukaryota, Viridiplantae, Streptophyta, Magnoliopsida, Poales, Poaceae.